This 226-nucleotide long non-coding RNA is filed under the name Elaeis guineensis (African oil palm). Its description in RNAcentral is "long non-coding RNA (EGUI_LNC073982)". The record is from RNAcentral. Lineage: Eukaryota; Viridiplantae; Streptophyta; Magnoliopsida; Arecales; Arecaceae.
AGGAAGGAGAGUCCUUCUUUUGGAAGGAGUUUGAAUGCCAGAUAAUAAUGGGAUGCCAUAUAUUUGCAUUGGGUAAGAUAGAGUCUUAAGUGUUAAGGACUCUUAAUUAUUUCACGCGUUCUCCCUUUCCACGCGCCAUAUUACAGUGUUCAGAUUUUUUCUAGCAGAGGAAGAGUCCUUUUGCUUGUAAAACACUUCAUUUUCCACAUCUUAACUCAUGGGAUUC